Molecule: ribosomal RNA, 497 nt
Filed under: uncultured bacterium
Lineage: Bacteria
Description: partial 16S ribosomal RNA
Rfam family: Bacterial small subunit ribosomal RNA
Source: RNAcentral
GAUGGACGCUGGCGGCGUGCCUAAUACAUGCAAGUCGAGCGAACGUACGAGAAGCUUGCUUCUCUGAUGUUAGCGGCGGACGGGUGAGUAACACGUGGAUAACCUACCUAUAAGACUGGGAUAACUUCGGGAAACCGGAGCUAAUACCGGAUAAUAUUUUGAACCGCAUGGUUCAAAAGUGAAAGACGGUCUUGCUGUCACUUAUAGAUGGAUCCGCGCUGCAUUAGCUAGUUGGUAAGGUAACGGCUUACCAAGGCAACGAUGCAUAGCCGACCUGAGAGGGUGAUCGGCCACACUGGAACUGAGACACGGUCCAGACUCCUACGGGAGGCAGCAGUAGGGAAUCUUCCGCAAUGGGCGAAAGCCUGACGGAGCAACGCCGCGUGAGUGAUGAAGGUCUUCGGAUCGUAAAACUCUGUUAUUAGGGAAGAACAUAUGUGUAAGUAACUGUGCACAUCUUGACGGUACCUAAUCAGAAAGCCACGGCUAACUACGUG